This 650-nucleotide ribosomal RNA is filed under the name uncultured bacterium. Its description in RNAcentral is "bacterial SSU rRNA". It matches the Rfam family "Bacterial small subunit ribosomal RNA", at positions 56 to 754 of the family's 1533-position model. The record is from RNAcentral.
UGCAGUCGACGGAUCCUUCGGGAUUAGUGGCGGACGGGUGAGUAACACGUGGGAACGUGCCCUUUGGUUCGGAACAACUCAGGGAAACUUGAGCUAAUACCGGAUGUGCCCUUCGGGGGAAAGAUUUAUCGCCAUUGGAGCGGCCCGCGUCUGAUUAGCUAGUUGGUGAGGUAAAGGCUCACCAAGGCGACGAUCAGUAGCUGGUCUGAGAGGAUGAUCAGCCACAUUGGGACUGAGACACGGCCCAAACUCCUACGGGAGGCAGCAGUGGGGAAUCUUGCGCAAUGGGCGAAAGCCUGACGCAGCCAUGCCGCGUGAAUGAUGAAGGUCUUAGGAUUGUAAAAUUCUUUCACCGGGGACGAUAAUGACGGUACCCGGAGAAGAAGCCCCGGCUAACUUCGUGCCAGCAGCCGCGGUAAUACGAAGGGGGCUAGCGUUGCUCGGAAUUACUGGGCGUAAAGGGAGCGUAGGCGGACUGUUUAGUCAGAGGUGAAAGCCCAGGGCUCAACCUUGGAAUUGCCUUUGAUACUGGCAGUCUUGAGUACGGAAGAGGUAUGUGGAACUCCGAGUGUAGAGGUGAAAUUCGUAGAUAUUCGGAAGAACACCAGUGGCGAAGGCGACAUACUGGUCCGUUACUGACGCUGAGGCUC